This 267-nucleotide ribosomal RNA is filed under the name uncultured bacterium. Its description in RNAcentral is "partial 16S ribosomal RNA". It matches the Rfam family "Bacterial small subunit ribosomal RNA", at positions 355 to 627 of the family's 1533-position model. The record is from RNAcentral.
UGGGGAAUUUUGCGCAAUGGGGGAAACCCUGACGCAGCGACGCCGCGUGGAGGAUGACGGCCUUCGGGUUGUAAACUCCUGUCAGAAGGGACGAAAUCCCGCAAGGGACUGACGGUACCUUCAGAGGAAGCCCCGGCUAACUACGUGCCAGCAGCCGCGGUAAUACGUAGGGGGCAAGCGUUGCUCGGAAUUACUGGGCGUAAAGGGUGAGUAGGCGGUCGGGCAAGUCAAGGAUGAAAUCCCGAGGCUCGACUUCGGAAUUGUUCU